CUUAACUGCACAGCCUGGGCCUGGUUAGUACUUGGAUGGGAGACUUCCUGGGAAUACCUGGGGCUGUUAGUG
RNAcentral lists this ribosomal RNA (72 nucleotides) under Cynoglossus semilaevis (tongue sole). The record is from RNAcentral. Lineage: Eukaryota; Metazoa; Chordata; Actinopteri; Pleuronectiformes; Cynoglossidae.